CCCUUAGGUGUUCUGGGCCGCACGCGCGCUACACUGUUCGACGCAGCGAGUCUUAACCUUGACCGAAAGGUUUGGGUAAUCUUCAGCAAAGUCGAACGUGAUGGGGAUCGAUCAUUGCAAUUAUUGAUCGUGAACGAGGAAUUCCUAGUAAGUGCAAGUCAUCAGCUUGCGCUGAUUACGUCCCUGCCCUUUGUACACACCGCCCGUCGCUACUACCGAUUGAAUGGUUUAGUGAGAUCUCUGGAUUGACGCUGGCUAGGGGGCGACCCUUGGCCAGGCUGUCGAGAAACUGCUCAAACUUGAUCAUUUAGAGGAAGUAAAAGUCGUAACA
This 331-nucleotide ribosomal RNA is filed under the name uncultured eukaryote. RNAcentral describes it as "partial 18S ribosomal RNA". It matches the Rfam family "Eukaryotic small subunit ribosomal RNA", at positions 1470 to 1796 of the family's 1831-position model. The record is from RNAcentral.